AUUGGGAUAUACUCAAGAUAUACGUCUCUGAAGUUUCCAUCCAAAAUAAGAUGCUUCAUAUUUGGGGCACGGACGGAUAAAACUAGUUCAUCCAUAUUUCGAAAUUUAAAUUCCUCAAGAAGAGGGCAAAUUGAAAUAAGGUUUUCAAUAAUCUCACGAGAAACUGUACAAUGAAUUAGGUUAAGGUACUUCAGACAUGGAAAACCUUGAAAUUUCAGAGGCGGCUUCACCACAAACUUGCAAAGCUUCAAUCUUGUCAGUCCUUGACAAGAAAAUAAAUGAGAAGGCGUGGGAAUGCUAUUGAUACAGAUCCAAUUACCGCCAAGAAUUAACUCUUCAAUAUCAUUCCUUGAUAUCACACGUAGCCAUUGAUCGAUAUCAGUAGACAUUCUCAAGUAUGAAGUAGUUACUUUAAACUUAUGAAUCAGGGGGUGGGGAUCCUAGAUGAAAUACAAAUGAGUUCUGAACUCAAGCUUCUCAGUGGCCCACUACUCAUCGCAACUUCCACUGCCAAGUUAUUAGUAACUUAUAAUGUUUGGAAAAGGGAUAAAUAUCAAGUAGGUCACUCGUUUCGUCCAAAUGUAUCAAUUGGGUCACUGAUUCCCAAAUUGACUCAAAUGAGACACACAUUAGAAAAAUUUGUAUCAAAAAUAUCACUCUCUAUCGUUAGUCAAAUUUUGAAAGUAUUAUAUAUCGAGUUUCGCACAUUUUUUAUGAAUGGUACUACAUCCAAAUGAAAGAUUCCGAGUUCUACUAUUUUCACUAAUAUUUUUAGAUUUUUAAAAUUUUAUCAACUAUUUAUUUUUAAUUUUUUGAUUGUUUUAUUUGAUUUAAAUAAAAAUAAAUAGGAGAUAAAUUUUUAAAAAUCUAAAAAUAUUAUCUAAAAUACUAGAACUCAGAAUCUUUCAUUUAGAUGUAAUACCAUUCAUAAAAAAUGUGCGAAACUCAAUAUAUAAUACUUUCAAAAUUUCGACUAACGAUAGAGUAAUAUUUUUGAUACAAAUUUUUCUAAUGAGUGUCUCAUUUGAGUCAUUUGGAAAUCAGUGACUCAAUUGAUACAUUUGGACGAAACAAGUGACCUACUUGAUAUUUAUCCCGUUUGGAAAAACACCACACUGGCUCCCAUUUGGUGGACAAAAUGCUAGUUCUAUAAGAAUCCCAUAUUGGUUCUUCUAUUAAUUUGAAAUCAACAAUGCUUUGUGGCAGAUACCUGAAUUUAUCCUUCCUUGAGCCCUUGCCCAUCUUUUAAUAUCCCUGCAAAAAGCAUACAAAUUUUGAGUGUAAUCGUUGCCAUAAUAAACCAAUUUUCGAACAAUAAUGUUGUUUAAAUUCACAUAUAGCAUCUCUGUCCAAACCAUAACUAUCUAUCUUCAAGACACUGUUUCAAAAAAAAAUGAAAGAGACAAAAUGUCAAACACUUGAAACGCAAUAUAAAGCUUCCGCUCAAGCAUAUAAGUUGUAUUUUAUUUUCGAAGAAGUGGUCACUAACUACUGAACAAACAAUAUAAGUUACCCAAUUAAUGGGAGAAAAACUUAAGGACAUACCAGAUACUACUAAUGCUAUAAAAAUCUCUUUCUCCAAGUACGCCAAGCCAGAGAGAUGGAGAGGAAUAGAUACGGAAGAUUUGAAAAAAACUUGUCAAGCAACAAGGAAUUUCCAGGAUAUUCUGAUCAUGUAGAACAUUGUUUCAGUCGUUUCAAGUUGCGAAUAUCAAACUUUUGUACUCCGUAAAAGAUUUCUUUUAAUUUGUAAUUUUACUCAAAGAUGAACUAUGAAAAAAAGCAGAAUCAUAAGAAAACCAAAUUACCAAAUUGCUAUUUAUUGAAAAGAGUAUAUUGCACUUUGUAAUCCCACACUUUGACUCAUUGACAAAUCAGACCUCACACUUUGAAACGUGUUACUUUGUAACUCUAAGUUUCAUUUAGCUUUCGGUUUGUAACCAUGGCUCACACCUCCGUUAAAAACAACCGUUAACAUUAACUGUUUGAAAUGUGACAAUGUAUAUAUUAGUCUCUAAUAGAUACUUUACCCCCAUGACACCUCAAAAUUUGUGUAUUAUAUUUUAAAAUUAUUUCCGAACACACACAACGAUGUAAAAAGAUUUGAAAUAAUUUUAAAAAUAUGUAUUUAGAUUUAGAAUCUGAAUUUUUUUUACAUAAACGAUGUAACUUUUUUUAAAAUUUUAAAAUAAAUACAUAUUUAAAAAAUUAUUUUAAAAUUUUUUUACAUCGUUGUGUGUGUUCAGAAAUAAUUUCAAAAUAUAAUACAUAAACUUUUAGGGGUCACACGAGUUAAAGUGGUAGAAAGUAAUAUACAUACUGCCAACUCUCAAACAGUUAAAGUUAAUGGCCGUUUUUAACGGAUGUGUGAGCCAGGGUUACAAAUCGAAAACUAAAUGAAACUUAGAGUUACAAAAUAUCACGUUUCAAAAUGUGGGAUCUGAUUUGCUAAUGAGCCAAAGUCUGGGGUUCCAAAAUGCAAUAUACUCAUCCGAAAACUGUUUCGAAAUUUUCACGCUCAUAAUAACGGGAUCAUGAUAUUCCUAUCAACUAUCUAAUUAUAAUUAGCCAUCCGUCUGUCAAAUUGUUUGGAAACAAAUUUGAAAACAAAAUUUGGAUAGUACGCACCAAGAUAUAUAAUGAUGGACAUGAAAAUGUGUACAUAAAAACAGCAAAUGUUUAAAAAGAAUUGAUAAUUUCAUUAAACCCAAACAAAAUUAUAUGACUGGUAAUCAGAAUUCAGUUGGAAAAAUGCUAAAAACUGGCUCCUAGUUAUUAUCUCGAAUGGGUGAAACAUAUAUUAUAAGCUUAACCCAAACAUGCAAAUUCUCUGCUUUAUGCAAAAAACACAAAAUAUAAGAAUAAAAAAUAAAAUAACUCCCUUGUUUGUACAAAAGGAGUAAAAUAGCAGGUAAUAUAGUUAUACAUCCACAAGAACUGAAAGUCUUCUGAAAUCCAUAAUUUGCAAAAGAAAGGAAAUGCUGCGAUAAGAUGACUAGUGAAACAAAGACAUGGAUAAAGAUGACUAGUCAAACAAAUGCAGUUGGAUAUUGGCAGAAGCUUGUUGAAGACGCGACAAUUCAGCAUCUGAUAUAUCAUCAAAAGAUUCAAGUUUGAUGCACAUCUUCUCAAGCACUGGGGAUCGUCCAAGCACAAAUAUGAGGAAUGCUAUGUCGAUUCUGCUGCACGAGUAAUCCAUAUUUACUAUUUUGAGGUGCUUGAAGGUGAAAUCAGUAGGAAAUUCUCUCUCCCAAAAAUCCAUACCAGCAGCAUUCUGAUGAUUAAGACAUUUAAAGUCUCCAGCCUAUUGUGAUCAAAAGGGAUAAUAGAUAUUAAACACGAGCCCAAGCAUAUAAUAUUGAACAGGCAAAUGUAAGCACCAAUUAACAGCACAUGUGACUUACUAGUAUAUGAAGUUCUUGCAGAUUAGGAGACUGCAAAAGCAACUGACGAACAUACGAGACUUGCUUCAUCUCUUCAAAAUUUAUUUCCCCAAGCGAAAUAACCUUUAGACAGUUAUGUGUUACUGGAACUCUCACAGGCACACUAUCUUCCCAUUGCUGAGCAAAAGGUACAAUAGUCAGAGUGAGGGUACAAAAAGAGCAAAAAAUUUAUCAAUAUUAAGGUUAGAGAUUAUAAAAAUUGAUAACACCUUUUCCCUCUAUAUUGAAUUUACAAAAAUAAUUGGAAAUACUUUUAGCAGUUUACCAGUGAAGUGAAGUCUAAUAUUAAAUGAACCAGAGACGGAGUAUGCUCAAGAUAUAUGUAUUUAAAUAUCCCUCUCACAGUAAGAUGCUUCAGAUUUGGGGAGCAGACGGUCAAAGCUAGAUUGUCUCCAUUACUAAAUUUAAACUUCUCAAGCAGAGGGCAACCUGUUAUAAGGUUUUCAAUAACCUCAAUAGUAACCUCGCCGCCAAAAAGGUUUAGGUACUUCAAACAGGGAAAUCCUUGAAAUCCCAAAGGAGGCUCCACUUUAAACCGAUAAAGCUUCAAUCUGGUCAGUUUUUGACAAGAAAAUAUACAAGAAGGUGUGCGGAAAUUCCAAAAGUUUCUGGACUGAGAAUUCCAAUAGUUUCUGGACUGCCACACCUCAAGAAGCAACUCCUUUAUAUCUUUCCUUGAUAGGAAAAGUAGCCAUGUAUCCAUCUCAGUAGAACUUAUGGAGUAUAAAGUAGAUAUUUUGAACUUAUGAAUUGGGCCGUCAUGAAGUAAAAAAUAUCGCACGAUAAAUCUUAAAAUUUUAUUCUUAGAAACAUUUCUGUAGCCAGAAAAACCCAUAUAUUCUUCGUCAAGUACGAGCUGUGUCAUGGUAGCCCACUGAUACCUCCACUUUUUAGACAAGAUGCUGGUUCUAACGGCAUCUCUUCUUGGGACUUUUGCUAGGAUGGUUUCAAUAAUGCUUUGAGGCAGAUGACUGAUAUAAUCUUUCCUUGAGAAUUCACCCAUUUAAUAUCCCUGGAAAACCCUGGAAAUUAUAAUUCUAAUCAUUCCCAAAUUAAAUCAAUAUAAAAAACUAUGCAGUAUGUUUGUAUUACUACAACACCUUAAGGCCAUGUUUGUUUGAAGGGAUUAUAAUGCCCAGACAACAACAUUAUUUUCUCUAAAUUUAGAGGAUUAUUAUCCCAUGUGAUUUCAUUGUAAUCACCUUUUUUUGAUUCAUUUCUAUGGAUUAUUAUAUCUUCUCUCACAAUGUAUUAGAAUUCCUUAAGAAUGCUCAGUUGAGACAAAUAUCCUUACUAAUUCUUUUACGUUUGUCAUGCCAAUUAAUCUAACCAGAUGAAGGAAAAACUUUAUGCCAAAUAAAUCAAAUCCUGAAACACAUUAAGUGAAUAAAUCGAUCGGGCUGGCCAUACAGUGAUUUCAAUUUAAGUAUUCCCAAUUCGAUAGAUGAAAAAAAUCUUCAAUUUGUAAAGAAUAGCCUGUAAUCAAAAACCAAUGAAAACCAAAGCAAAUGUACCUAUGAGAAGAGGGUCCGGGAAGGAUAAGAUGUACGCAGCCUUACUUCAAUUUGUAAAGAAUAGCCUGUAAUCAAAAACCAAUGAAAACCAAAGCAAAUGUACCUAUGAGAAGAGGGUCUGGGAAGGAUAAGAUGUACGCAGCCUUACCUCUAAUUCCAGAAGCAGAGGCCAUUUCCGUAAUCCUAUACUUGUUAGUUCUACUUCUAUCCUAUUAUCGUGGAAGAAUCUAAUGAUAAGAUUGAUAGACUUACAGAUUGGUUGAAAUAUCACUUACAGUUUGAUAAGUUAUUUUUAAGUAAUGCAAAAUGGUUGCUGAACAUCAUGUCCGCCUUUCAAUUAGGCAUCUGCCGUCAAUAAUUAUUCAACUCGACUAUAAACUAAGGACUACAGCAUAAAAAAAGGGAUAAAUUCUCUAAUAUGGGAAUAAACUAUAGGGAUAAAUUCUCUAAUAUGUGAAUAAACUAUGUACAUUGUACACGCACAGACCUUAAUUUGAAAUUGGGGAAAUGAUAAAAAUGAUAAAUUAACUAGGUUGGUCAUUUGAUGGGUCGGGUAUUAAUGUAUGCUGAACGAUUAAUUUCUAAAAGAUUUACAAAAGUGUAAUAUGAUGCAGUAUAUUAACGGAGUUGAUUAAACUAUAUCAAAGGCGGACAUGGGAUUUAGCUACCAAAUUUGCGACGGGGAAAUAAAAACCAAAAUGCUCAGGAGAGUUUUUCCGAACACCGUUGUGCAUUUUAACAAAAAGAGAACACGAAGUUAUGACUUCUGAAACAGUUGACAAGCAACAGCCACGCGAGCAAAUCAUUGUGUAUCCACCACAAGUCUACCAAACGAAGCAAUUACCUAUUAAAGCAAAAGAGAAGUAAAAGAGUAUACCAGAGACUGAAGGUAGUAAUCUUCGUAUGCGGUGCAAUAAUCUGAGAAACAGGAAAAGAAGGGAGGGGGCGGCCGCCAUCCGAAUGGGAGAGGAUGAUAUGUUUUUGUAUAUAUAGGGCCCAUCAGCAAUAGAAACCAACUACAAUCAUUGGAUCAGAAAGAAUAAAAGGCUCUGAUCAGCCCACUAGAUAAAAAACAGGGGAAUGGAAAAAGGAAAAAAGAAAGAAAAGAAAAUGGCAUUAAGCAAUAACUUCAUUUCAAAUAUAAACACAUUUCAAAUACAAACCACAACUACGCCUCUGCAGACAACAACUUCAUUCACCUAUAAAUCAUUAUUAUUCUCUUCAACCAAUAAGGACUCUCCGGUUCCACCCCAAUACCACAUUAUUUUAACUUAAUCUUCUUGCCAACUCAAUCUAGACCUUUCUCUCUCUUCUGCCAAAUCCGGUGACCAAUUUGUAAUUCUUGUCACUGCUGCAAUAUAUGUCUGGCCCAUCAGCAAUUGAAAUAUAUUGCAAUAAUUGGAACAAAAGAAACCCAAGGUUCGGUAGCCAACUUGAAAUUUUAAAAAAAAAACAGUGGAUUUAAGAAAAGUGAUGAUGAAGAUUUUCUUGCCACUUUUAAAACUUUAAACAGAAAAGAAAGGCAGCAAUUCAAGUUGAAGAAGGUGAGAGCCGCAGGGAGCUUGUGGAACUUAGCAAUUGCCACUCGGUUUUCAAAGGUGGUUCAGACUCCAAUUGAUAGGGAUAGUUGAGCAUAGAGAAAAACAAUAAGUUGUUUCAGACCAGGUGUUUAAUGAAGUGCUUCACUAAAGACAAUCAUUUCUUCUAUUUUUACAAAAUGGAAGCUUGUGCAAUCAGAAUAUCAGAUUACUCAAAUAUCAACAUAUACGGUAUGCUACCCUAUGAUCCGGUGCAUAUUUAUACAUUAUAGAGUAGGUUGGACCUGAGCAUAAUAUAGAAAGGGACAAAAUAAAAGUUGUAGUAUAUAUAUUGGCUUAUACUCGAAUAAAAAUUAUAAAUUCGUCACAGUUGUGCAUCAUUGAUAAUCCAAAAAAUUCACUGGACUAUAUGGAUCAGUAAGUAGUGUUAAGACUAGUGUUUUGUAGUACUAUAACUGUCUGCAAGUGGUGAUUUGUACCACUCUAAUGGACUAGUGUUUUGUAGUACUGCAAGUCUGUAACUGUCUGCAAGUGGUUAUUUGUGACUAGUUUCCCUUUUUCAAGAUAACAUCGUUGUAAUGGAGCACCACGCUAUAUGUCGGCUAACAGUCUACCAAAACAACACAAGUCAGAAAUCAAACAAAAAGAGAGAGAUUAAGGAAAUACCAGCUAAGAACAAAGGGGGAAGGACAUGCAUAAGAUGCGUAGCCAGAGUAUGUUGUCAAUUUGUCGAGAAGCUCUUCGAAAACCACUUUGUUAAUCAUAUUCUUUUGUCCACUGUAAGCAGGUGCAACACACAUGGCCUCAAGCAACGGAGAAUGUCCAAGCACAAAUAUGAGAAAUUCUAUGACCUUUUCCGUAAACACGACCGCCAUGUUACUACUUUAAGGUACUUGAAUGUGAAACCAGUAGUCAGUAGGGCAUUUUAACAACUUUGAGGACAUGUAGCCAGGUGUUUUAAGUGUGUUCAUUCGAGUCCAAACCAAUAAAAAUGCAGAAUAGUUGCAUGUUAAUUGUAUAGUGGAACGAUAACAAAUUUUCUGAAGUGACAAUUUAUAGAACAGUUGGUGGGCAAAAACAUACCUAUACUAAUUGUGAUAUGUAGAACAGUUGGUAGGCAACAGUGAUUGAGCCGGAGAUUUGAGCGAAUUUUGUCAGAAUCGCCAAAAUUAUUCUGAAAAUUUGGUUCAAAAGAAAGUAUUGCAAGUCCUGCUCGACGAUUUCUAACAUUUUCUGAAACUCUGCAAAAUCCUCGUGCACAUUCAAGAAAAUCAAGAAGAUUUCUUAGAACUCAAUUUCAUAAACCCUCGUGUACACCCAUUUUUUUUUUAUCCAAACAAAGUUUUGGAAUUUUUUUAUAAACUCAUUUUUAGGAAAAAAAGACAUUUUCACGAAAUAUAUUUUUCAUAAAUUUUUUGAGAUUUUUCCAAUAAAAGAGUAAUUUCAAAAAACAUUUUCCUUGAAAUUAUUUUUACUCCCUACAUUCUACAUUCUCCUCUUUGUUUAUAUGGCUAGAAAUAUAAACAAAGCCACAUUCUUGUUUAUAAAUGUUCUUAGUAAAUAAUUCGGUCUACUUGGUUCAAACUAAAUAUUUUUUCUAGAAAACAAUUGAGACUUUAUCUAUUUUAACGGAAAAAACUGAACCAAUUGAACAGAAAACAACUGAGAUGGUUUCUAUUUUAACGGAAAAAACUGAACCAGCUGAACUGUAAAAUAGAAUCAAACUAAAAUAUAAGCAGUUUCAUUUGGUUUCUGCGUUUUGCACAACUCUACCUGUCUGAAAAGGUUUACAUAAGGACCUGAUAUAAAUACAUCCUGAAUCCUGGUAAAUAUCUUACUGAAGCCACAAUUCGCAGAAGUUUAGCGUUCAAGCUUAAAAAUUUCUUCAACAAUUAGAUCUAAGAACCAAAAAAUAAAGUAGCCAAGGAAAAAAGUAAGAAAAGAAAGGCAUAGUUACAGAAAUCACUUCACUAGGGGUCCAAGAAUUUAAUUUCAACAUUUGGAAAAGCUUUUCCAAGACUCAGCACUUUAUUCACCAUACUCAUUCGUCCGCGACAACUAUCAGGAGGUGAAACAUUCAUCAUCUGAAGCACUGGAGAACGUCCAAGCACAAAUUUGAGGAAUUCUAUUUCAUGUUCUCUAGACACUUCCGUCAUUUUUACUACUUUAAGGUGCUUAAAUGUGAAAUCAGAAGGGCAUUGUUUCUCCCAAAAAUCUAAGCCAGCAGCUUUACGAUGAACAUUUUUGCUGGCCUCCUGUGUGAUCAGAAGCGAUAAAAAAAUAACUAAAGACUGAUAAAAGAAUUAUAUAAGCACAAAAAACAACAGGGCAUGUGACUUACUGAGAUUUGAAGUUCUUCUAUAUUAGGGGACUUCAAAAUCAAGUUAAGAGCAUAUAAAACUGCAUUCAUGUCUUCAAAAUUUAUUCCUCCAAGUUCGAUAAACUUCACAGAGUCAUACGUAAGUGGAACUUUUACAAGGAUACCAUCUUCCCAAGUCUGAGCAACAGGAUCAGCCGAAAGAGGGUGAGUGUGCAUCAUUUGUUAAGUGUUAACUUAAAGAGAAGUUUACAGACAGUUUAACACCAUUUCAUCAUCUAUCAAGUAUUAAUAAAGCUGAAAAGAACUACCUUGAAGAAGAUUAUGCUUAGAGAAACCAGAAGUGGGAUAUACUCAAGAUAUACGUCUCUGAAGUUUCCAUCCACAAUAAGAUGCUUCAUAUUUGGGGCACGGACGGAUAAAACUAGUUCAUCCAUAUUUUGAAAUUUAAAUUCCUCAAGAAGAGGGCAACCUGAAAUAAGGUUUUCAAUAACCUCACGAGAAACUGUACAAUGAAUUAGGUUAAGGUACUUCAGACAUGGAAAACCUUGAAAUUUCAGAGGCGGCUUCACCACAAACUUGCAAAGCUUCAAUCUUGUCAGUCCUUGACAAGAAAAUAAAUGAGAAGGCGUGGGGAUGCUAUUGAUACAGAUCCAAUUACCGCCAAGACUUAACUCUUCAAUAUCUUUCCUUGAUAUCGCACGUAGCCAUUGAUCGAUAUCAGUAAACAUUCUCAAUUUUGAAGUUGUUACUUUAAACUUAUGAAUAGGGCCAUCAUGAAGUAAAAGAAAUUGUGUGACAAAGUUUGCAAGUCUUAUCUCUGCAGCUUUUUGAUCAUCUAGAGAACCAUCUGGUAUUUCGUCAAAUACGAGUAGAGUCAUGGCUGUCCAUUGAUACCUCCACUUGGGAGACAAGAUGCUGGUUUUUACAGCAUCCCUUAUUGGGAUCUUUGUUAGGAUUUUUUCGAUGAUGUUUUGAGGCAGAUCACUGAUAUUGUUAUCCUUCCUUAAGCACUUCCCCAUCUUAUAAAACCCCUAGGAAAGCAUACAAAUCAUUACUUAAAUCAUUCCAGUUGAAUGUUACCUACAUUACCAUUGAUUCAAAGAAAAAAAAUGGUCAAACACAACACAAACAUAAAAGAUAGUGAUGAAUCAAAAGUCUAUACUUUAGUCCAGCAAAACAAAACAGACAUGUGUCCAGUUAAACUAAAAAGAGAGAUGGUUAAGGAAAUACUAACCAGACAGCAGAGGUAACUAAAAGAAACUUAGGAACAUGACGUCAUACCCUGGUGGGAGAGACUUGUCUUCAAUCGUCCCAGAUUCUUGAUUUGAUCCGGAGACUCACGAGAACAGAUACUAGUAAUUUGCAAGACCGCCUACUUAUUUAGAAGAAAAAAAAACUUCGUAAUUGAUGCGAGACAAUCUAUCUAGAUACAUACAUGGGAUAAAAAGAAAACUUCUUGCUCAUCCAAAAAGUUUGCAAGGGCGUUUUGCUUGCUGGUGUAAUUAGGUUGUGCGCUUCGCUUAUGGUGCAAUGGUGCAUAUAUACAAGACCAAUCUGUCAUAUUUUCAAUCUAACUUUGUUUAUAAUAAGUAAAAAUUUAGAUUUAAAUUUUAUUUGAAAUUCAUAACAUUCAAAUAUCAAUAUAAAACUCAUAAUUUGAAAUGAUACCUCAAAUUAUUAUAUCAUUUGAAAUCCAGAAUUUAAAAUAUAUAAUAUAUUUUCAUUUGAAAUUCAGAACAUUUAAAUACUAAUAUAAAUAUCAGAAUUUGAAAUGGCAUCUCAAAUCAUGUCUUUUGAAAUCUAAAAUUUAAAAUAAAAUUCAUGUUUAUAUACCAUAUCUCAUAUUAUUUAAAUUAUUAAUUUUUGAAUAUAAGGAUUUUCUAGUGUAAACAACUUAUCUUUAGUUAAGAGACGAAUUUUAAUUAACUUUUAUCUUAUUAAUAAUAAUGAACCUGUAUGUACAAAAUUUUCAUCAAUCAAAAUGUUUUAAAUAACUAAAAAGUUGAACACACACAAGAAUGAUCUCAGAUACAACUUCAUAAAUAUGUUACUUUUAACUAAAAAAACAUAUAUAAAUAAUUAAUAUAAAUUAUUUUUUAGAUUCAUUUGUUUUCAGUUAUAUAUUUAAUUAAUUAAAAUAUUAAAACUAAUUUUUGUUGAGCUAAUAAGAAUAUAAUAAUUCGAUAUAUGUUCGUCCAUUGCAAUCUCGUACUAUAUUUUGAUCAAAAAUUUAAAAUUUGCAAUACACGUCAUCAAUCUCAAAACGAACUUUUAAUUGAAAAUUAAAAAACGAAAUACGCAUAAAAAAUCCCAAGACAUGAACUUUUGAUGUCCAAGAAAGGAGGUGAGCAUAAAAACAUGGUGUAUCAAAUUAAGAUCAGAGUCAUGCUAAAAUACCACUUGUGAACAAGCGCCUGGAAAAGCCAAGCUGAUUCUUCUGGCUUCAAGGCUUCAACAAUUAAGAUGAGACAACUGACAAACACAUUUUAAAAACUAAUCACAGGUUACCCAAAGACAACAAGACAUAGAGAUAUGCAUAUACGAAUAUGCAGCACUUCACCAGGGAUCCAAAAAAUUUAUUUCAACACUGGGAGAAACUCGUCCAACACGCAGCACCUCAUUCACCAUAUUCAUCUGUCCAUCUUUAUAAUACAUAGACGGAGGUGAAACACUCACAACCUCAAGAACCGGAGAACGUUCGAGCACAAAUUUGAGAAACUCUAUGUUAUGUUUGUUCAUCACGUUCGACAUUUUCAUAACUUUAAGGUGCUUGAAUGUGAAGUCAGAAGGGCAACAUUUCUCCCAAAAAUCCAAGCCAGCAGCUUUAUAAUGACCACAACUGAGAUCCUCCUAGGUGAUCAGAAGGGAGACAAGAUAAAUAAAGCUAAGAAACAAUAGCAAAGACCGAGCAAAAAAUGAUGAUCAGAUAGAUAGUCACACAAAAUAGCAGGACAUAUGACUUACUGAGACUCGAAGUUCCUGAAGAUUAGGGGAGUGCAAAAGUAAGUGAAGAACAUACAACACUGCGUUCAUCUCUUCAAAAUUAAUGCCUUCAAGUUCAAUGAUCUUUAUAGAAUCGUAAGUAACUGGAACUUUCACAAGGAGAUUAUCUUUCCAAACCUGAGCACAGGACAGCAGAAAGAGAGUAAGUGUACAAAAAGAGUGCAUCAUCUAAAUACCCAGAGUAAAGAUUAGAGAAGAUAAAAACAACACCACCUUUUCAAAGAUUAUGCAUAAAUAAACCAGAACUGGAGUAUGCUCAAGAUAUAAGUCUCUCAAGUAUCCAGCGGCAAACAGAUGCUUCAGAUUUGGGGCACGGACUGUCAAAGCUAGUUUGUCCGCAGUUAUCAAUUUAAACUUCUCAAGAAGAGGGCAACUUGAAAGAAGGUUUUCAAUAAACUCAAGAGCAGCUGUGCAAUGUACCAGGUUAAGGUACUUUAAACAAGGAAAGCCUUGAAAUUUUAAAGGAGGCUUCACCACAAACUUGCAAAGCUUCAAUCUUGUCAGUCCUUGACAAGAAAAUAAAUGAGAAGGCGUUGGGAUGCUAUUGAUACAGUUCCAAUUUUCGCCAAGAAUUAACUCUUCUAUAUCUUUCCUUGAUAUGACACGUAGCCAUUGAUCGAUAUCAGUAGACAUUCUCAAGUAUGAAGUAGUUACUUUAAACUUAUGAAAAGGGCCAUC
This 12496-nucleotide long non-coding RNA is filed under the name Daucus carota (carrot). Its description in RNAcentral is "long non-coding RNA (DCAR_LNC001566)". The record is from RNAcentral. Lineage: Eukaryota; Viridiplantae; Streptophyta; Magnoliopsida; Apiales; Apiaceae.